AGAGAAACAAAGUAGGAAGAGAGAAAAUGGGAAGAGAAGUAUGAGAGAGCUGCGUGGAUAGUCUACUCACAGAGAUGGUAUCCAUGUACUGCAAUCGCUUAAUAAGCUCGAGCUCGCUGCCAGUAGGAUUGACGCUAUUGGCUACCAGGUCGCCGCCCAGAAUUUAUUCAAAAACUGGUAUCACAGAAGAUUCGACUUGAGGCUAUUAAAUUCUUUCAUGCAUUUGAACAGCUUGACAAGUUCCCUCCUAUACCCCUGCUUAAAGCACAUUUGAAGUUUGCCAAGGAGGUCCAAGAGGGGGCAAGAUCCUCAUAAGGCAGGAGGAUGCUGCUGUAGAUAAAGAAGUAAUAUCUCUAAGAGCUAUAGCUUGGAGUUGAACCACAGUAUUCUCCGGAGAACCUCAGAGCGCGCAUCAGCCAGCUGAAAAAAGCAGAAAAACGAGAAGCAAGUUUCUCAAGUAAUCAGUACCAGCCAUCCAUUUAUCACCUUUAGCUUAGUUCUAUACUCAGGCACCGGUUUAUAAGGAGAGAAUUUGUAUGCUUGCUGGUACCUGUAAUGUGAGUUAGAUCAGCCAGAUGUGUUACAAACUAUUUUGUCAUCCUUUUUCAAAGAUUAUACCUCAUUAACAGUUAUUGAAAUCAUAUCAACCCAUCAGACACGUACCCUAUUGCUC
This is an RNA transcript of Fragaria vesca subsp. vesca, 673 nucleotides long. RefSeq lists it as uncharacterized. The record is from RefSeq and is a predicted model, not a curated record. The transcript has 3 exons. Lineage: Eukaryota; Viridiplantae; Streptophyta; Magnoliopsida; Rosales; Rosaceae.